ACUGUUUACCAAAAACAUAGCCCUCGGCUAAUAUGAAAAUAGAUGUAUAGAGGGUGAUGCCUGCCCAAUGGUUGUAUCUAAAAGCGGUUGAUAAAAGUCGACCUCGUAAGGACAAUUGAAUGGCCGCGGUAACACUGACCGUGAUAAUGUAGCGUAAUCAAUAGCCAAUUAAUUGUUGGCCAGUAUGAAUGGCGCCACGAAGGCCCCACUGUCUUAAGGAAAUUCCCAGUGAAAUUGAAUUCGUAGUGAAGAUGCUACGUGCAAUUUGUUAGACGAAAAGACCCCGUUGAGCUUUACUGGAGCACUUACAUGGCCCUGGCCUUCCCAUGCUUGGGAAUCGGCCGAAUUUAAAUGGGCGGCUUAGAUUAUGUGGCAGCCCCCCGCUGGGGCAAAUGAAACCCCACUCCCCCAUGUCAAAGGGGCUAACCCCCCCCCUUGGGGGGAC
RNAcentral lists this ribosomal RNA (445 nucleotides) under Isaurus tuberculatus. RNAcentral describes it as "partial 16S ribosomal RNA". It matches the Rfam family "Bacterial large subunit ribosomal RNA", at positions 1799 to 2252 of the family's 2925-position model. Lineage: Eukaryota; Metazoa; Cnidaria; Anthozoa; Zoantharia; Zoanthidae. The record is from RNAcentral.